This is a long non-coding RNA of Octopus sinensis (East Asian common octopus), 149 nucleotides long. RefSeq lists it as uncharacterized. The transcript is spliced from 3 exons. The record is from RefSeq and is a predicted model, not a curated record. NCBI's taxonomy places the organism in Eukaryota, Metazoa, Mollusca, Cephalopoda, Octopoda, Octopodidae.
CUUUACUAUUCAGAUUUUUCUGUCAAAUGUAAAGCUUAUUUAUUCACAUCGUUUUGAAUUAAUUAGGCAUUGUUUUGUAGCUUUCAGAGUUCAGUAAUGUGAUUGUUGCAUUUUUAAAAUGACAUUGUCUGUGAAUGUGAAGGGCUGGA